UUAGAGGCUUAAAAUAUCAUGCAUAGUUAGAAUUGCUGGCGUCAUGCUCUUAGACGGUGCAACUCGACCGGUAACUGCGCGCUUCGAAGCGCUGACAACUGCAGAACGUGUGUGUAAUGCGUCAGGAGCGUGGCCGUGUAAUGGGAGAUAGCUCGGUGAGAGCCCGCAUGCAUUACCGGCAUACGGCCUGAGGGGGAAAGCGGGGGAUCGACAGACCUCGCGUUAUACGAGCAGACGACGUCUGAUUAGCUAGUUGGUGAGGUAAGAGCUCACCAAGGCGACGAUCAGUAGCGGGUCUGAGAGGAUGAUGCUUCACACUGGGACUGAGACGCUGCCCAGACUCCUACGGGAGGCAGCAGUGGCGAAUUUUGGACAAUGGAGGCAACCCUGAUCCAGCCAUGCCGCGUGUCUGAAGAAGGCCUUCGGGUUGUAAAGGACUUUUGUCAGGGAGGAAAUCCCGCUGGUUAAUCCCCGGCGGGGAUGACAGUAUCUGAAGAAUAAGCACCGGCUAACUACGUGCCAGCAGCCGCGGUAAUACGUAGGGUGCGAGCGUUAAUCGGAAUUACUGGGCGUAAAGCGUGCGCAGGCGGUUGUGCAAGUCUGAUGUGAAAGCCCCGGGCUUAACCUGGGAACGGCAUUGGAGACUGCACAGCUAGAGUGCGUCAGAGGGGGGUAGAAUUCCACGUGUAGCAGUGAAAUGCGUAGAGAUGUGGAGGAAUACCGAUGGCGAAGGCAGCCCCCUGGGAUGACACUGACGCUCAUGCACGAAAGCGUGGGGAGCAAACAGGAUUAGAUACCCUGGUAGUCCACGCCCUAAACGAUGUCAACUAGCUGUUGGGGGUUUGAAUCCUUGGGAGCGUAGCUAACGCGUGAAGUUUGCACU
RNAcentral lists this ribosomal RNA (883 nucleotides) under Chromobacterium violaceum. RNAcentral's name for it is "bacterial SSU rRNA". It matches the Rfam family "Bacterial small subunit ribosomal RNA", at positions 1 to 871 of the family's 1533-position model. The record is from RNAcentral. Lineage: Bacteria; Pseudomonadati; Pseudomonadota; Betaproteobacteria; Neisseriales; Chromobacteriaceae.